This 448-nucleotide ribosomal RNA is filed under the name uncultured marine bacterium. RNAcentral describes it as "bacterial SSU rRNA". It matches the Rfam family "Bacterial small subunit ribosomal RNA", at positions 8 to 452 of the family's 1533-position model. The record is from RNAcentral.
AGAGUUUGAUCAUGGCUCAGAUUGAACGCUGGCGGUAUGCUUAACACAUGCAAGUCGAACGGAAACGAUACUAGCUUGCUAGUAGGCGUCGAGUGGCGGACGGGUGAGUAACGCGUAGGAAUCUACCUAAUAGUGGGGGAUAGCCCGGAGAAAUCCGGAUUAAUACCGCAUAAUCUCUAUGGAGUAAAGGGGCCCUCUUCUUGAAAGGUUUCGCUAUCAGAUGAGCCUGCGUAAGAUUAGCUAGUUGGUGAGGUAAAAGCUCACCAAGGCGACGAUCUUUAGCUGGUCUGAGAGGAUGAUCAGCCACACUGGGACUGAGACACGGCCCAGACUCCUACGGGAGGCAGCAGUGGGGAAUAUUGGACAAUGGGGGCAACCCUGAUCCAGCAAUACCGCGUGUGUGAAGAAGGCCUGAGGGUUGUAAAGCACUUUCAAUUGUGAAGAAAAG